AGCUGUCCUUCAUGACAACAGAACCCACAACAACCAUGACUUUUAUCACCAUCUUCAUCUGGACACUUGCUUUCUGCUUUCAAGAAUCCAAAGGACAGAUCACUGUGACUCAGACUCCUGCAGUGAAAGCUGUUCUCCCAGGACAGACAGUCUCUCUGAACUGUAAAACCAGCAGUAAUGUGUAUCAAGCAGGUUACUCUGAUGCCCGUCUUGCCUGGUAUCAACAGAAACCUGGAGGAACUCAUGAACUCCUUAUUUACCAUACUAAAAACACUCCAUCUAGAUGCAGUGUGAGAGUCAGGGUGCUGCUCCAGCUGUACAGGCCGUCCUUCUCCAGGACCCCGGGACUGGCCUCCUGCUUCUUGCUGGUCCCGUCCACUUUCCAGCUCAUGGUCCAGUCUGAGGGGAAGCCCUUGUUGGCCAGACACAUCAGUUUGGCCUGGUACCAACAGAAACCUGGAGUAGCUCCUAAACUCCUAAUAUACUGGGCUAAAACCAUUCAGUCUGGGACUCCAUCUAGAUUCAGUGGCAGUGGAUCUGGGAGUGACUUCACUCUGACCAUCAGGGGAGUCCAGGCUGAAGAUGCAGGAGAUUACUACUGUCAGAGUUUACACAACCCCAACAGUGUCUGGGUGUUCACACAGUGA
Non-coding RNA from Coregonus clupeaformis (lake whitefish), 647 nucleotides. The record is from the annotation of a RefSeq genome assembly. NCBI's taxonomy places the organism in Eukaryota, Metazoa, Chordata, Actinopteri, Salmoniformes, Salmonidae.